CUACGUGCCAGCAGCCGCGGUAAUACGUAGGUCCCGAGCGUUGUCCGGAUUUAUUGGGCGUAAAGCGAGCGCAGGCGGUUAGAUAAGUCUGAAGUUAAAGGCUGUGGCUUAACCAUAGUAUGCUUUGGAAACUGUUUAACUUGAGUGCAGAAGGGGAGAGUGGAAUUCCAUGUGUAGCGGUGAAAUGCGUAGAUAUAUGGAGGAACACCGGUGGCGAAAGCGGCUCUCUGGUCUGUAACUGACGCUGAGGCUCGAAAGCGUGGGGAGCAAACAGGAUUAGAUACCCUGGUAGUCCACGCCGUAAACGAUGAGUGCUAGGUGUUAGGCCCUUUCCGGGGCUUAGUGCCGCAGCUAACGCAUUAAGCACUCCGCCUGGGGAGUACGACCGCAAGGUUAAAACUCAAAUGAAUUGACGGGGGCCCGCACAAGCGGUGGAGCAUGUGGUUUAAUUCGAUGCAACGCGAAGAACCUUACCUACUCUUGACAUCCAGAGAACAUUC
Molecule: ribosomal RNA, 500 nt
Filed under: uncultured bacterium
Lineage: Bacteria
Description: bacterial SSU rRNA
Rfam family: Bacterial small subunit ribosomal RNA
Source: RNAcentral